ACGGGAUUGGGAGCUUGCUCCCAUGAGAGUGGCGCACGGGUGAGUAACGCGUAUGCAACCUGCCUUUAACUGAGGGAUAGCCCAUAGAAAUGUGGAUUAAUACCUCAUAGUUCUGAGAGAUCGCAUGAUUUUUCAGAUAAAGCUCCGGCGGUUAAAGAUGGACAUGCGUGACAUUAGCUAGUUGGUGAGGUAACGGCUCACCAAGGCAACGAUGUCUAGGGGGUCUGAGAGGAUGAUCCCCCACACUGGUACUGAGACACGGACCAGACUCCUACGGGAGGCAGCAGUGAGGAAUAUUGGGCAAUGGGCGGGAGCCUGACCCAGCCAUCCCGCGUGCAGGAUGAAGGCCUUAUGGGUUGUAAACUGCUUUUCUGCGGGGAGAAUAGUCCCGACGCGUCGGGGUAUGACGGUACCGCAGGAAUAAGCAUCGGCUAACUCCGUGCCAGCAGCCGCGGUAAUACGGAGGAUGCAAGCGUUAUCCGGAUUCAUUGGGUUUAAAGGGUGCGCAGGCGGCACAGCGAGUCAGUGGUGAAAUCCUGCAGCUCAACUGUAGAAUUGCCUUUGAUACUGGUCGUCUUGAGUCAUUGUGAAGUGGUUGGAAUAUGUAGUGUAGCGGUGAAAUGCAUAGAUAUUACAUAGAACACCGAUUGCGAAGGCAGAUCACUAACAAUGUACUGACACUGAUGGACGAAAGCGUGGGGAGCGAACAGGAUUAGAUACCCUGGUAGUCCACGCCGUAAACGAUGGGUACUGGCUAUACUGGGUGUUGACCCCCGGUGUGGCGUAGCUAACGCGUUAAGU
Molecule: ribosomal RNA, 801 nt
Filed under: uncultured bacterium
Lineage: Bacteria
Description: bacterial SSU rRNA
Rfam family: Bacterial small subunit ribosomal RNA
Source: RNAcentral